Molecule: ribosomal RNA, 328 nt
Filed under: uncultured eukaryote
Lineage: Eukaryota
Description: partial 18S ribosomal RNA
Rfam family: Eukaryotic small subunit ribosomal RNA
Source: RNAcentral
CCCUUAGAUGUCCGGGGCUGCACGCGCGCUACACUGAAGGAAUCAGCGUGCUAAAACCAUUUUCGAAAGGCAUUGGUAAACCCAUUAAAAUCCUACGUGAUUGGGAUCGGGAAUUGCAAUUAUUUCCCUUGAACGAGGAAUUCCCAGUAAGUGUGGGUCAUAAGCUCGCGUUGAUUACGUCCCUGCCCUUUGUACACACCGCCCGUCGCUGCCCGGGACUGAGCCGUUUCGAGAAAAGCGGGGACUGCUGCUGUCGGGGCUUUCGGGCCUUGGCUUCGGUGGAAACCGCUUUAAUCGCAGUGGCUUGAACCGGGCAAAAGUCGUAACA